This 2899-nucleotide ribosomal RNA is filed under the name Klebsiella pneumoniae. RNAcentral describes it as "23S ribosomal RNA". It matches the Rfam family "Bacterial large subunit ribosomal RNA". The record is from RNAcentral. Lineage: Bacteria; Pseudomonadati; Pseudomonadota; Gammaproteobacteria; Enterobacterales; Enterobacteriaceae.
UUAAGCGACUAAGCGUACACGGUGGAUGCCCUGGCAGUCAGAGGCGAUGAAGGACGUGCUAAUCUGCGAAAAGCGUCGGUAAGGUGAUAUGAACCGUUACAGCCGGCGAUGUCCGAAUGGGGAAACCCAGUGCAAUUCGUUGCACUAUCGUUAACUGAAUACAUAGGUUAACGAGGCGAACCGGGGGAACUGAAACAUCUAAGUACCCCGAGGAAAAGAAAUCAACCGAGAUUCCCCCAGUAGCGGCGAGCGAACGGGGAGCAGCCCAGAGUCUGAAUCAGCUUGUGUGUUAGUGGAACGGUCUGGAAAGUCCGACGGUACAGGGUGAUAGUCCCGUACACCAAAAUGCACAGGCUGUGAACUCGAAGAGUAGGGCGGGACACGUGGUAUCCUGUCUGAAUAUGGGGGGACCAUCCUCCAAGGCUAAAUACUCCUGACUGACCGAUAGUGAACCAGUACCGUGAGGGAAAGGCGAAAAGAACCCCGGCGAGGGGAGUGAAAAAGAACCUGAAACCGUGUACGUACAAGCAGUGGGAGCACCUUCGGGUGUGACUGCGUACCUUUUGUAUAAUGGGUCAGCGACUUAUAUUCUGUAGCAAGGUUAACCGUAUAGGGGAGCCGCAGGGAAACCGAGUCUUAACUGGGCGUUAAGUUGCAGGGUAUAGACCCGAAACCCGGUGAUCUAGCCAUGGGCAGGUUGAAGGUUGGGUAACACUAACUGGAGGACCGAACCGACUAAUGUUGAAAAAUUAGCGGAUGACUUGUGGCUGGGGGUGAAAGGCCAAUCAAACCGGGAGAUAGCUGGUUCUCCCCGAAAGCUAUUUAGGUAGCGCCUCGUGAAUUCAUCUUCGGGGGUAGAGCACUGUUUCGGCUAGGGGGUCAUCCCGACUUACCAACCCGAUGCAAACUACGAAUACCGAAGAAUGUUAUCACGGGAGACACACGGCGGGUGCUAACGUCCGUCGUGAAGAGGGAAACAACCCAGACCGCCAGCUAAGGUCCCAAAGUCAUGGUUAAGUGGGAAACGAUGUGGGAAGGCACAGACAGCCAGGAUGUUGGCUUAGAAGCAGCCAUCAUUUAAAGAAAGCGUAAUAGCUCACUGGUCGAGUCGGCCUGCGCGGAAGAUGUAACGGGGCUAAACCAUGCACCGAAGCUGCGGCAGCGACACUAUGUGUUGUUGGGUAGGGGAGCGUUCUGUAAGCCUGCGAAGGUGACCUGUGAGGGUUGCUGGAGGUAUCAGAAGUGCGAAUGCUGACAUAAGUAACGAUAAAGCGGGUGAAAAGCCCGCUCGCCGGAAGACCAAGGGUUCCUGUCCAACGUUAAUCGGGGCAGGGUGAGUCGACCCCUAAGGCGAGGCCGAAAGGCGUAGUCGAUGGGAAACAGGUUAAUAUUCCUGUACUUGGUGUUACUGCGAAGGGGGGACGGAGAAGGCUAUGUUAGCCGGGCGACGGUUGUCCCGGUUUAAGCAUGUAGGCUGAUUAUCCAGGCAAAUCCGGAUAAUCAAGGCUGAGGUGUGAUGACGAGGCACUACGGUGCUGAAGUAACAAAUGCCCUGCUUCCAGGAAAAGCCUCUAAGCAUCAGGUAACAUCAAAUCGUACCCCAAACCGACACAGGUGGUCAGGUAGAGAAUACCAAGGCGCUUGAGAGAACUCGGGUGAAGGAACUAGGCAAAAUGGUGCCGUAACUUCGGGAGAAGGCACGCUGGUGUGUAGGUGAAGUCCCUGCGGAUGGAGCUGAGACCAGUCGAAGAUACCAGCUGGCUGCAACUGUUUAUUAAAAACACAGCACUGUGCAAACACGAAAGUGGACGUAUACGGUGUGACGCCUGCCCGGUGCCGGAAGGUUAAUUGAUGGGGUUAUCCGUAAGGAGAAGCUCUUGAUCGAAGCCCCGGUAAACGGCGGCCGUAACUAUAACGGUCCUAAGGUAGCGAAAUUCCUUGUCGGGUAAGUUCCGACCUGCACGAAUGGCGUAAUGAUGGCCAGGCUGUCUCCACCCGAGACUCAGUGAAAUUGAACUCGCUGUGAAGAUGCAGUGUACCCGCGGCAAGACGGAAAGACCCCGUGAACCUUUACUAUAGCUUGACACUGAACAUUGAGCCUUGAUGUGUAGGAUAGGUGGGAGGCUUUGAAGCGUGGACGCCAGUCUGCGUGGAGCCAACCUUGAAAUACCACCCUUUAAUGUUUGAUGUUCUAACGUUGGCCCCUUACCGGGGUUGCGGACAGUGUCUGGUGGGUAGUUUGACUGGGGCGGUCUCCUCCCAAAGCGUAACGGAGGAGCACGAAGGUUAGCUAAUCCUGGUCGGACAUCAGGAGGUUAGUGCAAUGGCAUAAGCUAGCUUGACUGCGAGCGUGACGGCGCGAGCAGGUGCGAAAGCAGGUCAUAGUGAUCCGGUGGUUCUGAAUGGAAGGGCCAUCGCUCAACGGAUAAAAGGUACUCCGGGGAUAACAGGCUGAUACCGCCCAAGAGUUCAUAUCGACGGCGGUGUUUGGCACCUCGAUGUCGGCUCAUCACAUCCUGGGGCUGAAGUAGGUCCCAAGGGUAUGGCUGUUCGCCAUUUAAAGUGGUACGCGAGCUGGGUUUAGAACGUCGUGAGACAGUUCGGUCCCUAUCUGCCGUGGGCGCUGGAGAAUUGAGGGGGGCUGCUCCUAGUACGAGAGGACCGGAGUGGACGCAUCACUGGUGUUCGGGUUGUCAUGCCAAUGGCACUGCCCGGUAGCUAAAUGCGGAAGAGAUAAGUGCUGAAAGCAUCUAAGCACGAAACUUGCCCCGAGAUGAGUUCUCCCUGAGACUUUAAGUCUCCUGAAGGAACGUUAAAGACGAUGACGUUGAUAGGCCGGGUGUGUAAGCGCAGCGAUGCGUUGAGCUAACCGGUACUAAUGAACCGUGAGGCUUAACCU